CGCACCCACGUGACCGCGCUCCGCCGGGCUAUAAAUAGCGGUGGCACCGCCCCUACCCCUUCCUUUUUCGGCAGGCAGCGCAAGGGGUGGCGGGCAAAGGCCUAGCUGGAAUAAAGCUUUUUCUGAGAGCAAAGAAAUGUUGGACUACUAACACUGCUUUCCUGUUUCAGAAGACUUGAGAUGACUCGGCAUUCUUUUUUCAUUGGCUGGAAAACAGGUUGGAACUGCAUUUUAAGUAUGAGGCUUAAUAAAAAAAAAAAAAGCUACUGCAGGGGGGAACACUUCUAGCUGCCUGGAGUACUUGCUGAUUUCCAGAUGUAAGGCUGGGAUUGCUCUAUAACGUACCUGGCCCAGGAAACCUAGAGACCUGAUGCCAUUUCUUAAGGAUUUGAUUGAGCCAGUUACAAGCCUGUGGAAGAGAGGUUCCAUGGCUAUGGGAAUGAAUCCUGAUAAUGAAAGGAUGUGUUGGAGGGAUUGGCAUUGGCUUACAAACUGGUACUAAAGGAGAAAUUCCUGCUUUCACCCUGCUGCAGAGGGAGCAGAUGAUGGCACACUUGAGAGAAGGUGUCCAAAGGGCUCUUGAGAAUGAUGAUUGGGGUGACUUGGAUGUGCACAGUGCUGCUACCUAAAGUCCUGAACUUGACUGAACUUGGAAUUAAAGCAGUUUCUGAAGCAAAGCUAUGCUCCUACCUCAGGAUGGUAUCUUGACAGGUUGUGGCCCUUUUUUCUAGGCAAGGACUCUGAUCUGCCUAAAGACAAACUGGCCACAAGACAGCAGUGGAAGAACAGGAAUUUGGAAGGGUAAGGAGCUGCGAGCUUUUGGCAGAUUUUUAGUGCAAGACAUGCACGCAAAGAAAUGUCAAACCCCUGUGGAUUGUGGAUUUCUAAUCAAUAAAUAUUGUUGUAUGAAA
Long non-coding RNA from Alligator mississippiensis (American alligator), 911 nucleotides. RefSeq lists it as uncharacterized. The transcript has 13 exons. The record is from RefSeq and is a predicted model, not a curated record. Lineage: Eukaryota; Metazoa; Chordata; Crocodylia; Alligatoridae.